RNAcentral lists this ribosomal RNA (516 nucleotides) under uncultured Desulfobulbus sp. Its description in RNAcentral is "bacterial SSU rRNA". It matches the Rfam family "Bacterial small subunit ribosomal RNA", at positions 903 to 1382 of the family's 1533-position model. Lineage: Bacteria; Pseudomonadati; Thermodesulfobacteriota; Desulfobulbia; Desulfobulbales; Desulfobulbaceae. The record is from RNAcentral.
CGCGCCUUGCCAGCCCGACUCAGAAACUUAAAGGAAGUUCGAGGGGGCCCGCACAAGCGGUGGAGUAUGUGGUUUAAUUCGAUGCAACGCGAAGAACCUUACCUGGUCUUGACAUCCCGGAGACCCUUAGGAAACUAGGGGGUGCUUCCAUCUGGAAGAAUCUGGAGACAGGUGCUGCAUGGCUGUCGUCAGCUCGUGUCGUGAGAUGUUGGGUUAAGUCCCGCAACGAGCGCAACCCUUGCCUUUAGUUGCCAGCAGUUCGGCUGGGCACUCUAAAGGGACUGCCGGUGUUAAACCGGAGGAAGGUGGGGAUGACGUCAAGUCCUCAUGGCCUUUAUGACCAGGGCGACACACGUGCUACAAUGGCCGGCACAACGGGAAGCGAGUUCGCGAGGACGAGCGGAUCCCUCAAAGCCGGUCGCAGUUCGGAUUGAAGUCUGCAACUCGACUUCAUGAAGCUGGAAUCGCUAGUAAUCGUGGAUCAGCCAAGCCGCGGUGAAUACGUUCCCGGGCCUU